Molecule: unclassified non-coding RNA, 565 nt
Filed under: Hevea brasiliensis (rubber tree)
Lineage: Eukaryota; Viridiplantae; Streptophyta; Magnoliopsida; Malpighiales; Euphorbiaceae
Source: RNAcentral
AAAAUAUUCUCUCUUACAGCUAACGUUAACACUCGCUCUUUCUCUCAUGUUGUCUUCUUUCUCUGGUUUAUCCUCUAUAUCUAGCUCCUAGUGCCAUUUAGCUCCCCUAUUCGAAGAUCGGCUCUGCUAUCCUCGAUUUAGUGGUAGCCCUAGUGUUUUUGCAGUGCUAGGUGUUCGGACUGGAGAUGGAUUCAUCAAUUUCUCAGGUGCAUAGGAUUGUUGACUUAGCUGUUAUACCUUUCUAUAGUUUUCUCGAAUACUUGUGGUGCUUGUGGCCUUGUGCUUUAGUUAUUGCAGAAACUUUGGUGUUUUUGCCCUAUUUCUGCUGUGUUGCAGUGCUGGUCAAAGAGGUUUGUGCUUUAGAUGCACUGUUUUCACUGGUGUUGAUCAUUUGUGGCUUGAGUGGAUGACGAUCUAGACAGCUUCUGGAGCUUUUCUUCUUUUGGGUCAGGCUCUUUGUGUUGUAUAUGAUAUUUGGUUUUAAUUUAAUUUGGUUAGGCCUAUGUAUCUUAGCCCGCCUCUUGUAUUUCUCUUAAAAAUAAAUUAAAAAAUAAGUCAUUAUAAU